RNAcentral lists this ribosomal RNA (497 nucleotides) under uncultured bacterium. RNAcentral's name for it is "partial 16S ribosomal RNA". It matches the Rfam family "Bacterial small subunit ribosomal RNA", at positions 28 to 507 of the family's 1533-position model. The record is from RNAcentral.
GAUGAACGCUGGCGGCGUGCCUAAUACAUGCAAGUCGAGCGAACGGACGAGAAGCUUGCUUUUCUGACGUUAGCGGCGGACGGGUGAGUAACACGUGGAUAACCUACCUAUAAGACUGGGAUAACUUCGGGAAACCGGAGCUAAUACCGGAUAAUAUUUUGAACCGCAUGGUUCAAAAGUGAAAGACGGUCUUGCUGUCACUUAUAGCUGGAUCCGCGCUGCAUUAGCUAGUUGGUAAGGUAACGGCUUACCAAGGCAACGAUGCAUAGCCGACCUGAGAGGGUGAUCGGCCACACUGGAACUGAGACACGGUCCAGACUCCUACGGGAGGCAGCAGUAGGGAAUCUUCCGCAAUGGGCGAAAGCCUGACGGAGCAACGCCGCGUGAGUGAUGAAGGUCUUCGGAUCGUAAAACUCUGUUAUUAGGGAAGAACAUAUGUGUAAGUAACUGUGCACAUCUUGACGGUACCUAAUCAGAAAGCCACGGCUAACUACGUG